RNAcentral lists this ribosomal RNA (524 nucleotides) under uncultured bacterium. RNAcentral describes it as "bacterial SSU rRNA". It matches the Rfam family "Bacterial small subunit ribosomal RNA", at positions 8 to 518 of the family's 1533-position model. The record is from RNAcentral.
AGAGUUUGAUUAUGGCUCAGGAUGAACGCUGGCGGCGUGCCUAACACAUGCAAGUCGAACGGAGUUAUAAGCGGAAGUUUCGGAUGGAAGCUAAUAAACUUAGUGGCGGACGGGUGAGUAACGCGUGGGUAACCUGCCUUGUACUGGGGGAUAACACUUAGAAAUAGGUGCUAAUACCGCAUAAUCAUAUUUUUUCGCAUGAGGAAGUAUGGAAAACUCCGGUGGUACAAGAUGGACCCGUGUCUGAUUAGUUAGUUGGUGGGGUAAUGGCCUACCAAGACGACGAUCAGUAGCCGGCCUGAGAGGGUGACCGGCCACAUUGGGACUGAGACACGGCCCAAACUCCUACGGGAGGCAGCAGUGGGGAAUAUUGCACAAUGGGGGAAACCCUGAUGCAGCGACGCCGCCGUGAGUGAAGAAGUAUUUCGGUAUGUAAAGCUCUAUCAGCAGGGAAGAAAGAGAACGUAAGUUCUCGUGACGGUACCUGACUAAGAAGCCCCGGCUAACUACGUGCCAGCAGCUGC